GGCGCACCUUUUCUCCCUCCUGCCACAAUGUGAGCGCUCAGCGGAGCAGAUAACCGCUGGCUGCCUGCUCCACCCCCGGCCCUCGCCCACUCCGCCUACUCCCGAGCGCCCAGAACUGGCAGACUGCUGACAUGGGAAGAGUAGCCACAACCACCACCAGGGCGAAGAUGUCUCUGGACUCAACUGAGAAGUUCAUCGAAGAGAAAGACUGACUUUCUCCACAGAGCCUUCUGAGAGCAGAGAACGUAUCCCAUGCACUGCACCAAGUCGCCCUCGCUUUAUAAACGCUUCACGAGUGCGUGACUGAUGGUGGAUCCCGGGAGCGCUUGUGGAGACUGCUGGGAUACUGCCUAUCACCAUCUCUCCUCCAGCACCCUACUCCAGCACAGCCUAUUCUGUGACCUACUUUCCCUUUAAGCCAGAAGAUGGUUCCAGGAACUGCUACUCUCUAAGUGACAGAUACCGGUGGAGAAUGAGCCUCAGCCUGCAGAUCAUUGGACCGCUCCCUUCCUUCUCCAGGGGGUGCCCAGUGGGCCAGAAUCCAUGUGUUUUGUAGGAUUCCACUCAACCCUUUACCUAAGUCAUCAGUCUGCCUUUGAUCUGUCUCAGCAAGCAGGGACACGUCUCCACGGGAAGCUGGUGUUAACAAAUGUACACACAACACACACAGAUGCACACAACACGCAGACACACACACACACCUUUCUCACUCUAUGAGCCAUUGUCUGGUCCUUUGCUCCUGGGCCUGACCCAUCUUUAUGAGAUCUAGGCUCUUCCUAUCCCGGGAUGCUGAAUCUGGCCUCCCAUGGGACAGAGUUGGGCACUUUGCACGUCUCCAGCCUUGCCCUCCCUUGGGGGCUUGUGAAGGAUCCACCCAUAUGGCAGAACCUUCCAGAGAGACUCGAAACUAGGAGCCUGACCUCAUGAUGCCCGAAGCACCUGGCACAGAGGGUACCAGCUCUGAUGUCCUGGCCCCAGCCCAGUUCUCUCUUCUAGAAUCCACACCUUCUCUGGCGCUCCUCCAGCCCUGCGAGAGCAGCCCCAGCUUAGCGAGAACGAGCAUGACCUUAGGAAGGACAUAGUACGAGGAGGAGGGGUCUCCGCUGAGGGACCUCACCAACUCAUUCACUGCUGGCGUGUCUCUCGGUUUCCCCUGGCGAAACCGCCCAUGCGUCUAUGAUUAUAAAGGAGCUCCGAACGGCCGGAAAACCCAAGUUAUGCCCUGUUCCCUUGCUGCCAGGAGCUACCUGCCCGCCCCACCCCUUGCUAGUUGCCCAGCCAGGCAGGGUCCUGCAGGAUGAAAGUUCCAAGAAGCCCGAGCAGGAAUAAUAAUGAUACUCAUCUGCAGUGGCGGCGGCGGCGGCGGCGGCGUCUUAGCCACCUGGGAACGCAGGGCCCCACGCCCUGUGCCUCACACCCCAGGACACUACAAGGGCUCCUUUCCCUAGAUUUUAUUACAGGGAUCCCACACUCUGCCAUUCCCAGCCCAACCCAUCCGAGUUUCCAAGAGCUUCAGUCUAGCCACCACCAGCCUCAUCCACCACCCAGGUUCCAUGGGAAGAUUUGGCUUAACAAGACCCAAGCCAACACAGGUGAAGGACGCCCAGCCUCUUGGAAACUUGGGUUCCAGGGUUUCUCAGAGAAGCAAUCCACCUGCCCCUGGCCCAGGGCACUUUCCCACAGACCCAUCUGUGUCUGGUCAGUACAAAGACCUGAAGCCUUGCAAGUGUCCAUCUGAGUCGCAAUUCCCAAGUCACCCACUCUAGGGCUCCAGACAAGUUUUAUUUUGAUUGUUACCCAGAAACUCUCCAAAGUUUGUAGUGUUUGCGAGUGAUGACCGGGAGGAGAGGGGAGCAGGGAGAGCGUCUCUCAUUUUUUUUUUUUUUUUUUUUUUUUUUUUUUUUUUUUUUUGCUUCUUUUUUUCCGGAGCUGGGGACCGAACCCAGGGCCUUGCGCUUCCUAGGCAAGCGCUCUACCACUGAGCUAAAUCCCCAACCCCGCAUCUCUCAUUUCUAAUACACAUUUGCAAUCC
This is a long non-coding RNA of Rattus norvegicus (Norway rat), 2032 nucleotides long. Ensembl lists it as uncharacterized. The record is from Ensembl. NCBI's taxonomy places the organism in Eukaryota, Metazoa, Chordata, Mammalia, Rodentia, Muridae.